GAUGAACGCUGGCGGCGUGCUUAACACAUGCAAGUCGAACGAACCUUCGGGUUAGUGGCGGACGGGUGAGUAACGCGUGGGAAUCUGCCCUCAGGAGGGGGAUAACGGCUGGAAACGGCCGCUAAUACCCCAUAUGCCGAGAGGUGAAAGGAAUUUCGCCUGAGGAUGAGCCCGCGUCUGAUUAGCUAGUUGGUGGGGUAAGAGCCUACCAAGGCGACGAUCAGUAGCUGGUCUGAGAGGAUGAUCAGCCACACUGGGACUGAGACACGGCCCAGACUCCUACGGGAGGCAGCAGUGGGGAAUUUUCCGCAAUGGGCGAAAGCCUGACGGAGCAACGCCGCGUGAGGGAUGAAGGCCUCUGGGCUGUAAACCUCUUUUCUCAAGGAAGAAGAACUGACGGUACUUGAGGAAUAAGCCACGGCUAAUUCCGUGCCAGCCGCCGCCGUAAGAC
This 451-nucleotide ribosomal RNA is filed under the name uncultured bacterium. RNAcentral's name for it is "bacterial SSU rRNA". It matches the Rfam family "Bacterial small subunit ribosomal RNA", at positions 28 to 526 of the family's 1533-position model. The record is from RNAcentral.